GCCAUCAUCGGUGCUAAUUGCAUCGCUUUCAUUCUUCCCAUCUCAACCCCUAUUUUUAUAACAGAAUCUCUGGCAUUCCCUGUCACUCCGUAAUCCCACAUAUGGUUAGUUACUACUCUGGUCUUUCACCUCCAAUUUUCUUUUGGGGAUGCUUGCCAACUAGGCAUCCUAGGAAACAAGCCAACAUAAUCUCCUAUGAUGCUAAGGGCCAAGAAAAGGCUAAUUGAUCAAUCAUAGAGUACCAUAGAACUUCACUUGCUAUUCCAUUGAUUCUCAUAUCAUGUGCAAUGUAGAUAGGAAAAUUCUUAGAAACUUUAGGAGUCGAGUUUUGGAAACACAAGCUUAUCACGUUUCUCUCAGUCCACCAUCCUAGUGGUUUACACGUCACAAAGGUAGAUUGGGUAUCGGUGAAAAUGACAAGCUUGCUCCUUAGAGUAAGUUGAUGCCAGGCAGCUAGGCUUACUUGUGCAUGGCAUUCAACACACGUUUCACCUGGUAUCGGUCCGUUUCAAGUUGACAGAAUGAAUUUGGGCAUUUAGAUGAUUGAUUUAUUUGGACGAGAAUUUUUUUAUGGAA
This 576-nucleotide long non-coding RNA is filed under the name Elaeis guineensis (African oil palm). RNAcentral's name for it is "long non-coding RNA (EGUI_LNC002930)". The record is from RNAcentral. Lineage: Eukaryota; Viridiplantae; Streptophyta; Magnoliopsida; Arecales; Arecaceae.